UGGGGAAUCUUGCACAAUGGGGGCAACCCUGAUGCAGCGACGCCGCGUGAGCGAUGAAGCCCUUCGGGGUGUAAAGCUCUUUCGACGGGAACGAUAAUGACGGUACCCGGAGAAGAAGCUGCGGCUAACUACGUGCCAGCAGCCGCGGUAAUACGUAGGCAGCAAGCGUUGUUCGGAGUUACUGGGCGUAAAGAGUGCGUAGGCGGUUCCGUAAGUUUGAUGUGAAAUCUCCCGGCUUAACUGGGAGGGUGCGUCGAAAACUGCGGGGCUGGAGUAUGGGAGAGGUAGGCGGAAUUCCUGGUGUAGCGGUGAAAUGCGUAGAUAUCAGGAGGAACACCGGUGGUGUAGACGGCUUACUGGACCAUGACUGACGCUGAGGCACGAAAGCGUGGGGAGCAAACAGGAUUAGAUACCCGCGUAGUCC
This 424-nucleotide ribosomal RNA is filed under the name uncultured bacterium. Its description in RNAcentral is "bacterial SSU rRNA". It matches the Rfam family "Bacterial small subunit ribosomal RNA", at positions 355 to 796 of the family's 1533-position model. The record is from RNAcentral.